This is a non-coding RNA of Ornithorhynchus anatinus (platypus), 72 nucleotides long. NCBI's taxonomy places the organism in Eukaryota, Metazoa, Chordata, Mammalia, Monotremata, Ornithorhynchidae. The record is from Rfam.
AGCGGCGUGGCUCAGCGGAAGGAGCCCGGGCUUGGGAGUCGGAGGUCUUGGGUUCGAAUCCCAGCUCCGCCA